GGACUACAAGGGUAUCUAAUCCCGUUUGCUCCCCUAGCUUUCGCGCCUCAGCGUCAGAAGAGGUCCAGUACGUCGCUUUCGCCACCGGCGUUCCUUCUGAUAUCAACGCAUUUCACCGCUCCACCAGAAGUUCCACAUACCCCUACCUCCCUCGAGCUCACCAGUAUCGAAGGCACUUCAACAGUUAAGCUGCUGGAUUUCACCCCCGACUUGGCAAGCCGCCUACGCGCCCUUUAAGCCCAGUGAUUCCGAACAACGUUCGCACGGUUCGUCUUACCGCGGCUGCUGGCAC
Molecule: ribosomal RNA, 292 nt
Filed under: uncultured Planctomycetota bacterium
Lineage: Bacteria; Pseudomonadati; Planctomycetota
Description: uncultured planctomycete partial 16S ribosomal RNA
Source: RNAcentral